RNAcentral lists this ribosomal RNA (141 nucleotides) under Symbiodinium microadriaticum. RNAcentral's name for it is "5.8S ribosomal RNA". The stretch from base 31 to 141 matches the Rfam family "5.8S ribosomal RNA", at positions 38 to 154 of the family's 154-position model. Rfam says of the family: 5.8S ribosomal RNA (5.8S rRNA) is a component of the large subunit of the eukaryotic ribosome. It is transcribed by RNA polymerase I as part of the 45S precursor that also contains 18S and 28S rRNA. The record is from Rfam by way of RNAcentral. Lineage: Eukaryota; Dinophyceae; Suessiales; Symbiodiniaceae.
GUCUCGAAUCAAUCCAAUACUUGCCUUCCGGAAGGGUGCAGCGAAGUGCGAUAAUCGUUGUGAACUGCAGAACUCCGUGAACCAAUGGUCUCUUGAACGUGCAUUGCGUUCUUGGGGUAAUGGAAUGUUGCCCGCGUGUGC